Long non-coding RNA from Cannabis sativa, 813 nucleotides. RefSeq lists it as uncharacterized. The transcript has 5 exons. The record is from RefSeq and is a predicted model, not a curated record. NCBI's taxonomy places the organism in Eukaryota, Viridiplantae, Streptophyta, Magnoliopsida, Rosales, Cannabaceae.
AUAGAUAAUAUGUUCUUUUUGACACAUUCAUAGGUUAUGGAGGUUAAAGUUACAGUGAUAAGUACCUCUCCUGAUAAGAAGGAAGAAGCUAUUGACAAUCUUGGUGCUAACUCAUUUUUUAUCAUUCGUGACCAAAAUCAAAUAGAGGUGCCAUGAGUACAAUGGAUGGAAUUAUCGACACAAUCUUUGUAGUGCACCCACUUAUGCCUUUGAUUGGUCUAUUAAGGUCUUAAGGAAAGUCGAUUAUGGUUGGAGCACCAAACAAGCCUCUUGAGCUACCAAUUUUUCCAUUAUUGUUGGAAUGUGAUUUUAUGAUGAUGGAGGAAGGAAAAUAGUAGCUGGAAGUUGCACUGGAGGAGUGAAAGAGACACAAGCGAUGAUUAAUUUUGCAGCCAAACAAAACAUUACAUCUCAUAUUGAACUUAUUCCCAUUCAUUAUGUCAACACUGCGCCAUAGAACGUCUUCUCAAAUCUUUCUUUAGCUUCUUCGAUUUCUCUAUUCAAAAUCUCAAUCGUGGUCUAUCUUUGAUUUUAGGUUGAGAAUUCGCACUUCAAAAGAUAUUGAGUUUGCAUUUUAUAUAAAAGAUAGAAGAAGGAAGAAAGUAUUGGCUCCGAUGAUCUCCGCAAGAUAGAUUUGGUGGAGCUACUAAAUAGAAAAAAUGAUAAUUUUUUUUUUUCCAAUUUGUAUUUGCAUUAAUAUUAUAGUGCAAGUUUUUUUAAGAUUUAUAUUUAAGAGAGACCAUUUUGAAUAUUUAUUUGUUACAAUGACAUUAAUUUUAGAAAUUAUGAAAUGUACGUAUAUUUUUAGUUUUA